AGCAAGUGGCGGAGAAAACUAUCUCAUAGCACAUAACAGAGCCAGCACUUGUCAACUUUUUGGAUGAUCCAAACUAGUACCGUUCUUCAUUGUAAUCUUUCAAAAUAUUUCAUUUUCUUAGCUUUUCACAAGAUUGCAACAUUUUGCAGUUCAGUCUCCAGAGAAUUUUACUAAUUUAUCUUUCUACUCUUACAACAUAAAUACUGAUUCCUGCAUUUCUGAAGACUAUCUCAAGAUCUAGACUACUAUGGAAGAAGUUCUAGUGAGCUUGGAUUCUGGUUGUGACAUGUCAUCAGAGUAAGAAUGGAUUGGCUACUAUUCCCUGGGAUAUAAAUACAUUCAACAGGAUAGCAAAGUUUGAGAAGCCAGCACUAACCAAGUUAAGUGACUCUAGCCAGUACCUUUUCUUCUUGUUAUGUUUCAAAAUACUUCAUUUUCC
This 439-nucleotide long non-coding RNA is filed under the name Equus asinus (donkey). RNAcentral's name for it is "lncRNA (ENSEASG00005023530.1)". The record is from RNAcentral. Lineage: Eukaryota; Metazoa; Chordata; Mammalia; Perissodactyla; Equidae.